RNAcentral lists this ribosomal RNA (358 nucleotides) under uncultured bacterium. RNAcentral's name for it is "bacterial SSU rRNA". It matches the Rfam family "Bacterial small subunit ribosomal RNA", at positions 355 to 730 of the family's 1533-position model. The record is from RNAcentral.
UAGGGAAUAUUAGAAAUGGACGAAAGUCUGAUCUAGCAACACCGCGUGUGCGAAGAAGGCCUUUGGGUCGUAAAGCACUUUUUGGAAGGAAUAGGAAGGAAUGUACUUCCAGAAUAAGUCUCGGCUAACUACGUGCCAGCAGCCGCGGUAACACGUAGGAGGCAAACGUUGUCCGGAUUUACUGGGCGUAAAGCGCGUGUAGGUGGUCCUGUAAGUAGGGCGUGAAAGCUCCUGGCUCAACUGGGAGAGGCCGUUCUAAACUACAGAACUAGAGGGUGGUAGAGGGAGGUGGAAAUCCAGGUGUAGCGGUGGGAUGCGCAGAUAUCUGGAGGAACACCGGUGGCGAAAGCGGCCUCCU